Molecule: ribosomal RNA, 501 nt
Filed under: uncultured bacterium
Lineage: Bacteria
Description: bacterial SSU rRNA
Rfam family: Bacterial small subunit ribosomal RNA
Source: RNAcentral
CCUACGGGAGGCAGCAGUGGGGAAUCUUGCGCAAUGGGCGAAAGCCUGACGCAGCCAUGCCGCGUGAAUGAUGAAGGUCUUAGGAUUGUAAAAUUCUUUCACCGGGGACGAUAAUGACGGUACCCGGAGAAGAAGCCCCGGCUAACUUCGUGCCAGCAGCCGCGGUAAUACGAAGGGGGCUAGCGUUGCUCGGAAUUACUGGGCGUAAAGGGAGCGUAGGCGGAUAGUUUAGUCAGAGGUGAAAGCCCAGGGCUCAACCUUGGAAUUGCCUUUGAUACUGGCUAUCUUGAGUACGGAAGAGGUAUGUGGAACUCCGAGUGUAGAGGUGAAAUUCGUAGAUAUUCGGAAGAACACCAGUGGCGAAGGCGACAUACUGGUCCGUUACUGACGCUGAGGCUCGAAAGCGUGGGGAGCAAACAGGAUUAGAUACCCUGGUAGUCCACGCUGUAAACGAUGAGUGCUAGUUGUCGCGAUGCAUGCAUGUCGGUGACGCAGACUACG